RNAcentral lists this ribosomal RNA (397 nucleotides) under uncultured bacterium. RNAcentral's name for it is "partial 16S ribosomal RNA". It matches the Rfam family "Bacterial small subunit ribosomal RNA", at positions 523 to 918 of the family's 1533-position model. The record is from RNAcentral.
AUACGUAGGGGGCGAGCGUUGUCCGGAAUGAUUGGGCGUAAAGGGCGCGUAGGCGGCCCGGUAAGUCUGGAGUGAAAGUCCUGCUUUUAAGGUGGGAAUUGCUUUGGAUACUGUCGGGCUUGAGUGCAGGAGAGGUAAGUGGAAUUCCCAGUGUAGCGGUGAAAUGCGUAGAGAUUGGGAGGAACACCAGUGGCGAAGGCGACUUACAGGACUGUAACUGACGCUGAGGCGCGAAAGUGUGGGGAGCAAACAGGAUUAGAUACCCUGGUAGUCCACGCUGUAAACGAUGAAUGCUAGGUGUAGGGGGUAUCGACCCCUUCUGUGCCGCAGUUAACACAAUAAGCAUUCCGCCUGGGGAGUACGGCCGCAAGGUUGAAACUCAAAUGAAUUGACGGGG